GUAACUUUACACAACGUGGCACCAAUUAUCGGCAGUGUGUGACAGUUAUCGGCACUUUUAAUUGAUUUUUAAUUAAUGACAGUAAUUUUUUUGCAAGGUGAGGGGCAAUGUGUUAUUAGUGAGCUCUAUCCAUGGAUCACAAGUUCAGUACAAAUUUCUGGAAAAGGUUCAGGCACAUGUAAAGUUUCAAAGGAAGGAGAAACAUAGUUUUGAUCACGUCUGGAUACAGGCAAAACAACAGGGUUUGACACAUCAAGGACAGUUUCUUGGCUAGGGGCUUCUACAACAUCAGAUGAAUCACUACUUUGAGGGACAGCUGGGAUGGAAGGCAGAUUGGCAGAGGUCGGAUUGGCAAGAUUAGCAGAGGGCAGAUUGACAGAGGGCAGAUUAGCAAUACUGGUAGAGGGAAGAUUGGCAAUAUCGGCAGAGGGCAGGGUGGCAAUGGCAGAGGGCAGAUAGGCAAUAUCGGCAGAGGGCAAAUUUGCUAACACAGUUUCUUUACAUUUAGGACUUUGUGUCUCAUUUUUCUUAAGGAAUGGGUACUUAAACACUCCAGAUAUCUCUCUGGCACUCAAACUGCCCGGUAAACUCAUUUUCCUAAAACGUAUAAAAAAAUUAAUUAGACUGUUAUUUGCUAUUCAAUGUGCCGAUAACUGUCUCCCCGUCAUUUUUUUACUGUUACAGUUAUCGGCACCCAUUUAAACCGGGAAGGGAAUAAAAAAUGCAAUAUUUAGUGGUCUUAUACCUAGAACAUAUUC
Molecule: long non-coding RNA, 758 nt
Organism: Ruditapes philippinarum (Manila clam)
Lineage: Eukaryota; Metazoa; Mollusca; Bivalvia; Venerida; Veneridae
Exons: 3
Source: RefSeq, a predicted model, not a curated record